Molecule: ribosomal RNA, 460 nt
Filed under: uncultured bacterium
Lineage: Bacteria
Description: partial 16S ribosomal RNA
Rfam family: Bacterial small subunit ribosomal RNA
Source: RNAcentral
CCUACGAGAGGCUGCAGUGAGGAAUAUUGGUCAAUGGGCGCGAGCCUGAACCAGCCAAGUAGCGUGAAGGAUGACUGCCCUACGGGUUGUAAACUUCUUUUAUAAAGGAGUAAAUUGAGGCAAGUGUGCCUUUUUGUAUGUACUUUAUGAAUAAGGAUCGGCUAACUCCGUGCCAACAGCCGCGGUAAUACGGAGGAUCCGAGCGUUAUCCGGAUUUAUUGGGUUUAAAGGGAGCGUAGAUGGGUUGUUAAGUCAGUUGUGAAAGUUUGCGGCUCAACCGUAAAAUUGCAAUUGAUACUGGCAGCCUUGAGUACAGUUGAGGUAGGCGGAAUUCGUGGUGUAGCGGUGAAAUGCGUAGAUAUCACGAAGAACUCCGAUUGCGAAGGCAGCCUACUAAACUGUCACUGACACUGAUGCUCGAAAGUGUGGGUAUCAAACAGGAUUAGAUACCCGGGUAGUC